GAGCCGUAGCUUUAGCCUGGAUUCUGUCAGCGUUUGCUUCCUGCCAUAGUACUGCUCCCGAUGUGUGACCAAGGACUCGAGGAAGUCUGGAUGCUCCCAGGAGACCUAUCCAUCCGUGCACAGAACUUCUGUGGCUGAGUCUCCCAGUGUCUAAAGGGAAAACCCCUGAGGCCCUUGCCUGACUCGUGAACUAUCCCAUAGCACAGGCAUUACAGUUGGAGGCCCACAGCGAGAUCAGGACCCUUGAGAGAUCGCCCUUGGAAGGCUGGCCAGCAG
Long non-coding RNA from Alexandromys fortis (reed vole), 276 nucleotides. RefSeq lists it as uncharacterized. The transcript is spliced from 3 exons. The record is from RefSeq and is a predicted model, not a curated record. Lineage: Eukaryota; Metazoa; Chordata; Mammalia; Rodentia; Cricetidae.